AUGUGUCUUUCUUGUGCAACAGGCCUCAGAGGAUCUAUGGCUAGCCAUUUAUGCACCUCCAGUGCUAGGCCAGACAUCUCCAAGCUUCCCCAGAGGAGGGUAAUUGCUGGAUUAGGCCAAAGAACAAACCUGAAGCAACUUCUCAAGGGCACGCAGCAACUGGUGGAAGAGCUCUGCAGUUGGAUGUCAGAUUUGUUUACCUUAGGCAUCUUCCAUCUUCGCCACCACUGCUGAAUCAGUCUUCCUUUAUGAAGCACGAUGUCCCCUUUGCAGUAGCAUAGAAGCUCCAGAGAGGACAGACUGCUAUUCUUGUUCAUGAACAAGAUGUGUUUGCCACAGCCAGCCAUUUCCUGUUGCAAGUCUUUGCACUUCAGGGAAGGACUCUAGCCACUGCAGCACAUGUGGACGUGGAGCACUGUCAGAUGUGUUGGACUGAACAGCGAGAAGAUGGCCAUCCAUAUACAGUGUGGAAGCUUUGGCUUACGGUAAGUCAGAGCUCUUAAUAUUGUUUUACCACAUUUUUUGAGCUUCAUAUUUAAUUCAGGUCAAAUCUGAACUACUAAACAGAACUGUUCCUUAGUGUACGUACUGGAUAAAUAAAGUGCAGUUUUAGUAUAGCUCUGACCUAGUU
Molecule: long non-coding RNA, 631 nt
Filed under: Anser cygnoides (Swan goose)
Lineage: Eukaryota; Metazoa; Chordata; Aves; Anseriformes; Anatidae
Description: lncRNA (ENSACDG00005003918.1)
Source: RNAcentral